RNA transcript from Juglans microcarpa x Juglans regia, 1197 nucleotides. It is a transcript of the gene named phenylacetaldehyde reductase-like, with no coding region annotated. The transcript has 7 exons. NCBI's taxonomy places the organism in Eukaryota, Viridiplantae, Streptophyta, Magnoliopsida, Fagales, Juglandaceae. The record is from RefSeq and is a predicted model, not a curated record.
UUUCAAACAAUAUAGAGAGAAGGAAGAUUUUCAGAGAGAAGGAGAAUGAGUAUUGGGACAGGGAAGGUGGUGUGUGUAACGGGAGCGUCCGGAUAUAUAGCGUCAUGGCUGGUGAAGCUCUUGCUUCAACGCGGCUACACUGUCAAAGCCUCAGUUCGUGACCCAAAUGAUCCAAAUAAGACAGAACACUUACUUGGGCUAGAUGGAGCUAAGGAAAGACUUCAUUUGUUCAAAGCAGAGUUAAUGGAAGAAGGAUCUUUUGAUUCUGUGGUUGAUGGAUGUGACGGAGUUUUUCAUACAGCAUCACCCUUUUAUUUCAGUGUCACCGAUCCACAGACAGAGUUAGUUGACCCAGCAUUGAAAGGAACACUAAACGUUCUCAGAUCUUGUGCUAAAGUUUUAUCUGUUAAAAGAGUGGUUAUAACAUCCUCAAUGGCAGCGGUUGCAUACAAUGGGAAACCUCUUGCUCCUGAUGUUACAGUUGAUGAGGCUUGGUUUUCAGAUCCUGCUUUAUGUGAGAAAUCAAAGCUUUGGUAUAUGCUUUCAAAGACCUUAGCAGAGGAGGCCGCUUGGAAAUUUGGAAAAGAAAAUGGAAUUGAUAUUGUAGCUGUAAAUCCAGGGUUGGUGUUUGGUCCUCUGUUACAGCCGAGUCUUAAUACAAGUGUGGAGCCAGUUCUGAAGCUUUUAAAUGGCGCAGAAAGAUUUCCAAAUGUAAUAUACAGAUGGGUUGAUGUUAGAGAUGUUGCUCAUGCACAUAUACUAGCUUUUGAAAACCCAUCAGCUAGUGGAAGAUAUUGUUUAGUUGCAGAAGUUGUUCAUUGUUCUGAGGUUUUGAAGCUUUUGCACAAGCUCUUUCCUGAUCUGAAGCUUCCUGAAAAAUGUGCAGAUGACAAGCCUUUUGAAACAACAUACAAGGUGUCUAAGGAGAGAGCACAAAGUUUAGGCCUUAGCUUCACUCCUGUGGAGGUGAGUUUGAAGGAUACUGUUGAGAGCUUGAAGGAGAAGAACUUCUUGAGUGUCUGAUUCAUUAUAUUACUUUGCAACUCUGGAAAACAGUUAAAGUGUAAACUUUGCCUGCCCUCCAAUUCUAUUGUUCUGGAGGGCAAGUGUUCUUGAGGACUUGCGUUGUAAUAUUUGGCCGUGAGCGUUGCGUAAUGAUGGUAAGCACGAGUGACUUCCGCGUUUUUGCUUUUCAAA